GCAGCCAUCAUUUAAAGAAAGCGUAAUAGCUCACUGGUCGAGUCGGCCCGCGCGGAAGAUGUAACGGGGCUAAACCAUGCACCGAAGCUGCGGCAGCGACACAAAGUGUUGUUGGGUAGGGGAGCGUUCUGUAAGCCUGCGAAGGUGUACUGUGAGGUAUGCUGGAGGUAUCAGAAGUGCGAAUGCUGACAUAAGUAACGAUAAUGCGG
This 209-nucleotide ribosomal RNA is filed under the name Proteus mirabilis. RNAcentral's name for it is "partial 23S ribosomal RNA". It matches the Rfam family "Bacterial large subunit ribosomal RNA", at positions 1112 to 1320 of the family's 2925-position model. Lineage: Bacteria; Pseudomonadati; Pseudomonadota; Gammaproteobacteria; Enterobacterales; Morganellaceae. The record is from RNAcentral.